UACGUAGGGUCCGAGCGUUGUCCGGAAUUAUUGGGCGUAAAGGGCUCGUGGGCGGUCUGUCGCGUCGGGAGUGAAAACUUACAGCUUAACUGUGAGCGUGCUUCCGAUACGGGCAGACUUGAGGUAUUCAGGGGAGAACGGAAUUCCUGGUGUAGCGGUGAAAUGCGCAGAUAUCAGGAGGAACACCGAUGGCGAAGGCAGGUCACUGGGCCGCAACUGACGCUGAGGAGCGAAAGCAUGGGGAGCGAACAGG
Molecule: ribosomal RNA, 253 nt
Filed under: uncultured bacterium
Lineage: Bacteria
Description: partial 16S ribosomal RNA
Rfam family: Bacterial small subunit ribosomal RNA
Source: RNAcentral